GGACGAACGCUGGCGGCGUGCUUAACACAUGCAAGUCGAACGGAGUUCCUUGGAUAGAGGCUUCGGCCAAUUGAAUUGGAACUUAGUGGCGGACUGGUGAGUAACGCGUGAGGAACCUGCCUUCAGAGGGGGACAACAGUUGGAAACGACUGCUAAUACCGCAUGAGACCACGACCCGGCAUCGGGAUGGGGUCAAAGAUUAAUCGCUGAGAGGUGGGCUCGCGUCCGAUUAGGUAGUUGGUGAGGUAACGGCCCACCAAGCCUGCGAUCGGUAGCCGACCUGAGAGGGUGAUCGGCCACAUUGGGACUGAGACACGGCCCAAACUCCUACGGGAGGCAGCAGUGGGGAAUAUUGGGCAAUGGGGGAAACCCUGACCCAGCAACGCCGCGUGGAGGAAGAAGGUUUUCGGAUCGUAAACUCCUGUCCUUGGUGAAGAGCAAGAGACGGUAGCCAAGGAGGAAGCCCCGGCUAACUACGUG
Molecule: ribosomal RNA, 480 nt
Filed under: uncultured bacterium
Lineage: Bacteria
Description: bacterial SSU rRNA
Rfam family: Bacterial small subunit ribosomal RNA
Source: RNAcentral